UGUCCAACAAGUCAAAUCAGAGGCCACAGG
Molecule: non-coding RNA, 30 nt
Filed under: Homo sapiens (human)
Lineage: Eukaryota; Metazoa; Chordata; Mammalia; Primates; Hominidae
Source: RNAcentral